Molecule: ribosomal RNA, 841 nt
Filed under: Triticum aestivum (bread wheat)
Lineage: Eukaryota; Viridiplantae; Streptophyta; Magnoliopsida; Poales; Poaceae
Description: partial small subunit ribosomal RNA
Source: RNAcentral
GCCAAAAAUAUAUAUUGAGAAAGUAGGUCGCAAAUAUUUACAUCAGAGGCUACAUGGCACGAGCCGACAUAAUACAUGCUUCUUACAUUUAGGGUAGCAAGGGCGAAAUUCUAACCUGCAACAUCGUCCUUGAUGGUCGAGACAGUCACAUGCGACAUGAAAGGCUUACUUUUGAGAACUCGGAGUUUUGCCCCACGUAGUGCUCUCUAGUAACGAGGAUCACAUUCUUUUAGUUGUCUAUACUUGAAUUCCAAAAAAAGAAGGUACAUGAUUGUUUCGACAUUGCCCGAGAGCGCAAAACUCUGAGUCUCUGACUAACGGAACCAUGAAUGCAGACUGUAUAUAAGAGAUUAACAAACGGAGACAUCUAAACCGUAACAAUCUUUACAUCACAUUAUUGCAAAUCGAAGAUAAUAUUUCUGGCUUGGCUGCCACGCGCAAACUACGACAGUUUACUUUCGGUCGUGCCUCUGUGGCUCUGUGCAUCUCUAUGGGGAGGGACAGGGUUUGUUUGGAUCGUGAGUUUUCGGACACCCGGCUGGGCCCGUCUCCUCCAACUGAGACAGCACGUGUCGGCGCCAAUGCGUCGGCAACGGCGGCAUGGCGUCGACGGAACCGCCGGAGGAGGGUUCCCCGGCGUGCACCUGAUCACCUUGCAGUGGCCUCGCAGAGGCCCGGGUCCAUGGGCCGGACGUAGCCACGAGAACGAAGAGCAUGGCCACUGCAAGCUUCCCGGUCAUCGUGGUCGUGUUCGAACUUAUAGAAGGCCGCAGUGUUGCUUGUCGUAAUUGGGAGAUGGAUCUAUCAAACUAGUUAGGCUUUUGAGUGCUGUGGAUGCGAG